This is a long non-coding RNA of Cryptotermes secundus, 641 nucleotides long. RefSeq lists it as uncharacterized. The transcript has 2 exons. The record is from RefSeq and is a predicted model, not a curated record. NCBI's taxonomy places the organism in Eukaryota, Metazoa, Arthropoda, Insecta, Blattodea, Kalotermitidae.
AUGCUUAUGUCGUCCAAGUUGAUUCUCGCGUACCUCGCGUACUUCGCGUAUGAGCCAUUUGAUCAAUGUUAGUGUGGUUUUGUGUCGAUGUUGUAGGUUUCUUUCAGAAGUAGUUCAGUAUUUUUCACGUCUUGUUCAUAGAAUAAUUUUAUGAAUGUGAUUCUAUGUGAUAAUUAUGUGGGAACAUAUCGCUUUCGUUUUUCUUGCGUUCUGUCACGAAGCCUAUGCUUCACAUGGGUUUGAUUUUGGCGAUGCAUUAGCACUCAUUAUUGGAAUGGCUGCUGUGGUUGUCGGUGUAUGUGCCUGUUUGGGAUGCUAUGCGAGAAAAAGAGCUGCAGGACUAGAUGCGUUAUAGCAUCGAGAGAAAAUGCAUCACAAAAAUAUGAAUUUCCUUUUGGAAAGGUGCGCAUUAUUGGUUCAAGGUGCCUUCUCUCUCUCCAGUUGAUCUGACAUUCUGCAUCUGACACGUUUCUUACUUCAUCUCAGUAAAAAUAAUCUAUUUUUAAACAGUAUGUAAAUUCUUUCUUAAAGCAAAAACAAAAGAGUUGUAAUUAUUGUCAAUGUCAAUAUUAUUGUGCCUAAUAUUUAAUCAUGCAAAUGUUGUGAGACAUUAUGUAAUAAAUUGUGUUUUGUUACAUAAA